UCCUACGGGACGCAGCAGUGAGGAAUAUUGGUCAAUGGUCGGGAGACUGAACCAGCCAAGCCGCGUGAGGGAUGAAGGUACAGAGUAUCGUAAACCUCUUUUGUCAGGGAACAAAGGCGGGGACGCGUCCCCGGAUGAGUGUACCUGAAGAAAAAGCAUCGGCUAACUCCGUGCCAGCAGCCGCGGUAAUACGGAGGAUGCGAGCGUUAUCCGGAUUUAUUGGGUUUAAAGGGUGCGCAGGCGAUCUGUUAAGUCAGCGGUCAAAGCCCGGGGCUCAACCCCGGCCCGCCGUUGAAACUGGCAGG
Molecule: ribosomal RNA, 305 nt
Filed under: uncultured bacterium
Lineage: Bacteria
Description: bacterial SSU rRNA
Rfam family: Bacterial small subunit ribosomal RNA
Source: RNAcentral